Molecule: ribosomal RNA, 1367 nt
Filed under: uncultured bacterium
Lineage: Bacteria
Description: bacterial SSU rRNA
Rfam family: Bacterial small subunit ribosomal RNA
Source: RNAcentral
UUGAUCCUGGCUCAGGACGAACGCUGGCGGCGUGCUUAACACAUGCAAGUCGAGCGGAAAGGCCCUUCGGGGUACUCGAGCGGCGAACGGGUGAGUAACACGUGAGUAACCUACCUCGAACUCUGGGAUAAGCCUGGGAAACUGGGUCUAAUACCGGAUGUUCAUCUCCUGCUGCAUGGUGGGGGAUGGAAAGUGUUUAGCGGUUCGGGAUGGGCUCGCGGCCUAUCAGCUUGUUGGUGAGGUAAUGGCUUACCAAGGCUUUUACGGGUAGCCGGCCUGAGAGGGCGACCGGCCACACUGGGACUGAGAUACGGCCCAGACUCCUACGGGAGGCAGCAGUGGGGAAUAUUGCGCAAUGGGCGGAAGCCUGACGCAGCAACGCCGUGUGAGGGAUGACGGCCUUCGGGUUGUAAACCUCUUUCACCAGGGACGAAGCUUUUGUGACGGUACCUGGGGAAGAAGCGCCGGCCAACUACGUGCCAGCAGCCGCGGUAACACGUAGGGCGCGAGCGUUGUCCGGAAUUAUUGGGCGUAAAGGGCUCGUAGCGGUUUGUCGCGUCAAAGUGAAAAUCCGGGGCUCAACUCCAGACUUGCUUUCGAUACGGGCAGGCUAGAGGUAGCAGGGGAGAAUGGAAAUUCCUGGUGUAGCGGUGGAAUGCGCCAGAUAUCAGGAGGAACACCGGUGGCGAAGGCGGUUCUCUGGGCCUUACCUGACGCUGAGGAGCGAAAGCGUGGGGAGCGAACAGGAUUAGAUACCCUGGUAGUCACGCUGUAAACGUUGGGCGCUAGGUGUGGGAGUCUUUUGUGACGUCCGUGCCGUAGCUAACGCAUUUAAGCGCCCCGCCGGGGAGUACGGUCGCAAGACUAAAACUCAAAGGAAUUGACGGGGGCCCGCACAAGCGGCGGAGCAUGUUGCUUAAUUCGAGGCAACGCGAAGAACCUUACCUGGGUUUGACAUGUGGGUUAAUCCGGCAGAGAUGUCGGGUCCUUUUGGGAACUCAUGCAGGUGGUGCAUGGCUGUCGUCAGCUCGUGUCGUGAGAUGUUGGGUUAAGUCCCGCAACGAGCGCAACCCUCGUCCUAUGUUGCCAGCACGUUAUGGUGGGGACUCAUAGGAGACUGCCGGGGUCAACUCGGAGGAAGGUGGGGAUGAUGUCAAGUCUUCAUGCCCCUUAUGUCCAGGGCUGCAAACAUGCUACAAUGGUCGGUACAAUGGGCUGCGAGACCGUGAGGUGGAGCGAAUCCCUAAAAGCCGGCCUCAGUUCGGAUCGGGGUCUGCAACUCGACCCCGUGAAGUUGGAGUCGCUAGUAAUCGCGGAUCAGCAACGCCGCGGUGAAUACGUUCCCGGGCCUUGUACUCACCGCCCGU